Molecule: ribosomal RNA, 370 nt
Filed under: uncultured prokaryote
Description: bacterial SSU rRNA
Rfam family: Bacterial small subunit ribosomal RNA
Source: RNAcentral
UACGGAGGGUGCAAGCGUUAUCCGGAAUCAUUGGGUUUAAAGGGUCCGCAGGCGGAUUUAUAAGUCAGUGGUGAAAGCCUAUCGCUUAACGAUAGAACUGCCAUUGAUACUGUAAGUCUUGAAUUCGGUCGAAGUGGGCGGAAUGUGUAGUGUAGCGGUGAAAUGCAUAGAUAUUACACAGAACACCGAUAGCGAAGGCAGCUCACUAGGCCUGGAUUGACGCUCAGGGACGAAAGCGUGGGGAUCAAACAGGAUUAGAUACCCUGGUAGUCCACGCUGUAAACGAUGAUUACUCGUUUUCGGCGAUAUACAGUCGGAGACUAAGCGAAAGUGAUAAGUAAUCCACCUGGGGAGUACGAUCGCAAGGUUG